Molecule: ribosomal RNA, 297 nt
Filed under: uncultured Pseudomonadota bacterium
Lineage: Bacteria; Pseudomonadati; Pseudomonadota
Description: uncultured proteobacterium partial 16S ribosomal RNA
Rfam family: Bacterial small subunit ribosomal RNA
Source: RNAcentral
AACGAACGCUGGCGGCAGGCCUAACACAUGCAAGUCGAACGGAUGUAGCAAUACAUUAGUGGCGCACGGGUGCGUAACGCGUGGGAAUAUACCCUUUGGUAAGGAAUAAUGUCUGGAAACGGACACUAAUACCUUAUAAUGACUUCGGUCCAAAGAUUUAUCGCCAAGGGAUUAGCCCGCGUCUGAUUAGGUAGUUGGUGGGGUAACGGCCUACCAAGCCUACGAUCAGUAGCUGGUCUGAGAGGAUGAUCAGCCACACUGGAACUGAGACACGGUCCAGACUCCUACGGGUGGCUG